This 76-nucleotide transfer RNA is filed under the name Candidatus Poseidoniales archaeon. Its description in RNAcentral is "tRNA-Asp". It matches the Rfam family "tRNA". From Rfam's summary of the family: Transfer RNA (tRNA) molecules are approximately 80 nucleotides in length. Their secondary structure includes four short double-helical elements and three loops (D, anti-codon, and T loops). Lineage: Archaea; Methanobacteriati; Thermoplasmatota; Candidatus Poseidoniia; Candidatus Poseidoniales. The record is from RNAcentral.
GCCCCUGUAGUGUAGUGGCCUAUCAUCCUGGCUUGUCGAGCCAGGGACACGGAUUCGAAUUCCGUCGGGGGCGCCA